AAGUCGUAACAAGGUCUCCGUAGGUGAACCUGCGGAGGGAUCAUUACCAGAGAUGGCGGGCCCUCGGGUCCCCGUCCCCAACCCUUUGUUGCAACCAAACCAUUCUUUUUGGCCUCGGGGCAGAGGCGCCUCCGCCCGCCCCGGUGGAACCAACCAACCUGUCUCUGUACGUCGGAGUCUUUGAUAAAUAAAUGAAAA
This 198-nucleotide unclassified non-coding RNA is filed under the name plant metagenome. RNAcentral describes it as "partial contains small subunit ribosomal RNA and internal transcribed spacer 1". The stretch from base 1 to 46 matches the Rfam family "Eukaryotic small subunit ribosomal RNA", at positions 1786 to 1831 of the family's 1831-position model. The record is from RNAcentral.